This 220-nucleotide long non-coding RNA is filed under the name Gossypium barbadense (sea-island cotton). Its description in RNAcentral is "long non-coding RNA (GBAR_LNC008721)". The record is from RNAcentral. Lineage: Eukaryota; Viridiplantae; Streptophyta; Magnoliopsida; Malvales; Malvaceae.
UGCAAGCUAACGGCGCCGAUAGAGCGAAGCCAAGCCAAGACCAAAGUUAAGAAGAGUCCGUACGGCUCACGUAACGCAUCAGUCGGCAGCCGGCGCAUCACUGCCGUUCAUCAAGAAUUCAUUCCCAAACAUCGACGCAAACCCACUUACGUAGACUCACUACCCUUUCUCUUUUUUGCCCUUUCUUGCCUAUUCAAUGCGAUUUGGACAACCAACAAAC